Molecule: ribosomal RNA, 372 nt
Filed under: uncultured organism
Description: bacterial SSU rRNA
Rfam family: Bacterial small subunit ribosomal RNA
Source: RNAcentral
CGGGGGGGGCAAGCGUUGUUCGGAAUUACUGGGCGUAAAGGGCGCGUAGGCGGCCGACUAAGUCGGAUGUGAAAUCCCCAGGCUCAACUUGGGAACUGCAUCCGAUACUGGACGGCUUGAAUCCGGGAGAGGGAUGCAGAAUUCCAGGUGUAGCGGUGAAAUGCGUAGAUAUCUGGAGGAAUACCGGUGGCGAAGGCGGCAUCCUGGACCGGCAUUGACGCUGAUGUGCGAAAGCUAGGGGAGCAAACGGGAUUAGAUACCCCGGUAGUCCUAGCCCUAAACGAUGAAUGCUUGGUGUGACGGGUAUCGAUCCCUGUCGUGCCGAAGCUAACGCAUUAAGCAUUCCGCCUGGGGAGUACGGUCGCAAGGCUG